GAUCAUGGCUCAGAUUGACACGCUGGCUGGCAGGCCUAACACAUGCAAGUCGAGCGGUAGCACAAGGGAGUUUACUCCUGAGGGUGGCGAGCGGCGGACGGGUGAGUAAUGCCUAGGGAUCUGCCCAGUCGAGGGGGAUAACAGUUGGAAACGACUGCUAAUACCGCAUACGCCCUACGGGGGAAAGAGGGGGACCUUCGGGCCUCUCGCGAUUGGAUGAACCUAGGUGGGAUUAGCUACGUUGGUGAGGUAAUGGCUCACCAAGGCGACGAUCCCUAGCUGUUCUGAGAGGAUGAUCAGCCACACUGGGACUGAGACACGGCCCAGACUCCUACGGGAGGCAGCAGCUGGGGAAUAUUGCACAAUGGGGGAAACCCUGAUGCAGCCAUGCCGCGUGUGUGAAGAAGGCCUUCGGCGUUGUAAAGCACUUUCAGUAGGGAGGAAAGGGUGAGUCUUAAUACGGCUCAUCUGUGACGUUACCUACAGAAGAAGGACCGGCUAACUACCGUGCCAGACAGCCGCGGUAAUACGGAGGGUCCGAGCG
RNAcentral lists this ribosomal RNA (544 nucleotides) under uncultured bacterium. RNAcentral's name for it is "bacterial SSU rRNA". It matches the Rfam family "Bacterial small subunit ribosomal RNA", at positions 15 to 540 of the family's 1533-position model. The record is from RNAcentral.